This 485-nucleotide ribosomal RNA is filed under the name uncultured Desulfobacteraceae bacterium. RNAcentral's name for it is "bacterial SSU rRNA". It matches the Rfam family "Bacterial small subunit ribosomal RNA", at positions 68 to 527 of the family's 1533-position model. Lineage: Bacteria; Pseudomonadati; Thermodesulfobacteriota; Desulfobacteria; Desulfobacterales; Desulfobacteraceae. The record is from RNAcentral.
GAACUCUUUAGCUUGCUAAAGAUAGUAAAGUGGCGCACGGGUGAGUAACGCGUGGGUAAUCUCCCUCCAAAUCUGGAAUAACCCCGCGAAAGCGGGGCUAAUACCGGAUAAUAUCCCAAGAACUUCGGUUUUUGGGCUCAAAGGUGGCCUCUACACGUAAGCUAUCAUUUGGAGAUGAGCCCGCGUACCAUUAGCUUGUUGGUAGGGUAACGGCCUACCAAGGCUUCGAUGGUUAGCUGGUCUGAGAGGAUGAUCAGCCACACUGGAACUGACACACGGUCCAGACUCCUACGGGAGGCAGCAGUGAGGAAUUUUGCGCAAUGGGCGAAAGCUUGACGCAGCAACGCCGCGUGAGUGAUGAAGGCCUUCGGGUCGUAAAGCUCUGUCAAGUGGGAAGAACCUGUAUCAUGCCAAUACCAUGAUGCAUUGACGGUACCACUGAAGGAAGCACCGGCUAACUCCGUGCCAGCAGCCGCGGUAAUUCA